GACGAACCGUGCGAACGUUGUUCGGAUUCACUGGGCUUAAAGGGCGCGUAGGCGGGCGAUCAAGUCAGGGGUGAAAUCUUUCGGCUCAACCGGAAAAGUGCCCCUGAUACUGAUUGUCUCGAGGGAGGUAGGGGCAUGUGGAACUUCCGGUGGAGCGGUGAAAUGCGUAGAUAUCUACAGGAACUCCGGUGGCGAAGGCGGCACGCUGGACCUUUUCUGACGCUGAGGCGCGAAAGCCAGGGGAGCGAACGGG
RNAcentral lists this ribosomal RNA (253 nucleotides) under uncultured bacterium. RNAcentral's name for it is "partial 16S ribosomal RNA". It matches the Rfam family "Bacterial small subunit ribosomal RNA", at positions 524 to 776 of the family's 1533-position model. The record is from RNAcentral.